Long non-coding RNA from Macrobrachium nipponense, 2576 nucleotides. RefSeq lists it as uncharacterized. The transcript is spliced from 6 exons. The record is from RefSeq and is a predicted model, not a curated record. Lineage: Eukaryota; Metazoa; Arthropoda; Malacostraca; Decapoda; Palaemonidae.
GUUCAGUUUUAACUGCACAGUCCAACUGUGCAGUUAUAACUGCGCAGGCAUAACUGAACGUUUCAUAUUCAUAUCCAAUAUCGUUCGUGUCAUCGCAGACCGGCGUCAGCAACCUAGGUAAUCGUGACGCCAGAACGUCUGUCAGUAAAACUAUAUAUAAUUGUAAAGACUUCACUUAACAAAAGCAGUGGGCGACCGCCAAAAAUAAAGAUUUCGCUGUAAAGAACGAACUAAUUGUAGAAUUAUCGAGACCUAGUUUCUCUAGCGGAUGUCAUUAGGUACGAGAUAGGGAGUUACAGGACGCAUUGACUGGAAGCUUCGGGAACGUUUAGGUGGUUACUCGUGCUGUUGUCUAAUUAUCCCAGUUAAAGCAAGAUUGUAGCCGGAAAAUAAAGAAGUUUUGGUAGUUCGAACGCGUGUUGCUCGAAAACACCUUGCUUCAUUGAGGAAGGAAGUCAGGUUUACUGUUGACUUUAUGCAAGUUUACACUGAAGGACACUUGGAAGAGCGUCAUCUGCUGGAAACAUCAAGACUUGGGAAAUGUGCUGCCUGGCCAUGGAAGCUUCUGGAUUCUGGAAUGUGGUACAUAAUCAUGAUUCGUCUCAUGAAACAACCAAACACAAGACAUCUCUCUUGUCGCAGAAUGUGGGCGAGAAAUAAUUUGAUUUAUUAAUUGGUAGAAGUAGACACAUCCAUCCACUUGAGUGACCUGACCACCUCCGCUGUCAUUAAGAAGAGUAGGGUAGACGUGCCGUGGCGUGACUGGUGUCUGCCAGCCGACGAUAAUGGUCCCAUUUGGUGUGUGAGUGUGGUACUCCACAUCUGCUCCAUGUUGAUGCUCCGUGAAAAUCACCACAUCUCUCAUUUCAAAGGCAUUUGAAGAAAAGGUUCAUGAAUCACAACACGAAGUCGUAUUGCUACUUCCUGCUAAAGAUUGCUGGAAAAUGUGGUUGAAAGAAAAACUAAAAGGAUAUUACAAGGCUACCAAGAACUUGAUAAAAUCGUCGUUGAAGUCUAAACCACUUUUUCCUGGGGAAUCCUUAGUUCAAGUAAUGCACUGGUGGUCAAGGUGGGUUUUUGGCUUUAUAUUUAUUAUUACCUGUUUUGACUUUAUUGAAAAUAAACAAUAUUGUUUAAAUCUUGGAGAUGGAACUUUAAUUCCAAAGCACCGUGAAGAAUUAUGUAAGAAAGUUUCUUAUGCAACCCUUCAUGAGCAAACUGAUAAGAAGACUCCAGUUACUAGUGGAAUUUAUUUUCCAUACCUUGCCCUGUCUUUAAGUUUUUCUUAUAAAUGUAUGGAGUGGUUCUCUGUUCUUUGGGGUCAGGACCAGCGGAUUAAUAAGAUAAUAAACGAAUGUUACUUAGAUACCAGAGAUACCACUAAACAGGAGAGGAUGAAAACUUUUCUAGAGGCAAAUAUUGGGGGAUUUCAUUCUGUUUUUUAUAGGUCAUUAGCUGUCCAUAUAUUUCUUCUUUUAUUUGAUAUAGCUGCUUUGUAUUUUCUUCAUUACAUGUGUAAUGAGAAACUACAUGUUGUUUUUCAUUCAUUAUGGAAGAGAAACCAUAUAUGGCAUGGUGUAUUAGAUUUAGUAUACCCAUCUUAUACAACAUGUGAAAUUACACCUGAUAUGGUUAUUGUUGGAAGAGCUACAAUAAUCUAUAGGUGCUAUAAUCCUGCAAUGAAAGACUUCCAAAAGCUAUUCAUAAUUAUAGUUAGCAUAGUUGUAGUGCUUGUGUCAUUGUCAUUAUUGCAAGUGAUUUAUCUUUUGACUUGUAUCUAUCUUCCCUGUGUGCGAAAAGAACUUAUCUCGCCUGGAGGUAUUGCACCAGCAGCAAAAAAUUUUGUAUCAAAAAAGAUAUGUUUGGGUGAUGUAUUGGUCCUCAAUACUUUUAGGAUUCACUUAUCUGGUCGGCAUUACACUGAAUUGAUAAUAAAUCUUGCAAGGCACUUCCAGAGUAACGAGUCAGGAAUCCAAAUCGCAAAAGAAAUCACAACUUAAUUAGAGAUGAGGUAACCUCAGCUAUUCCCCAUUUAGAUCAAAAUGUUUUUAUCAUUAUUACCUUAUUCUGGUAACAAAAGACUGGUGUGCUUUUGUUUUGUCUUUUGUCAUUGUUUAGUUUACAUUAUUGCAUAGAUUUCCUAUCUUAGUAUUCAUAGUUGUUUAAUGUUGUUUGAUUCGCCAUGGUCAUUAAUUUUGUAAUGAUAAUUUUGUGUUUUAAAUUAUAAUGUAGGAAUUAUAUGUUUGCCAUUAUUUUUUUACAUGCAGAUUUUAAUGUUUAAUGUGUAAACAUUUUUGGUUCAUGUGGUACUAAACUGUGUUAAGUGUUCUCAUUGAUGAUAAAAAAUUUUAAUCCAGUAACUAGAAGAAACAACUUAUUGAUGACUGCAGAUAAUGUGUAUCUGUUUUGUUUUUUUUGUAUUAUAAUACUAACCAGAAAGGAAGUUAUUUACUUUUAGAGAAAUGAUAUGAGAGAAAAAAUAAUUGUUGUUAAAAGCAUGUUUUAUAAUUUUCCCAAGAUACAAAAGGCAUUUUGAAAUAGUAUUUAUAGUAAAUGUUUAGUUUAUACUAAAGAAA